Molecule: long non-coding RNA, 2433 nt
Organism: Ruditapes philippinarum (Manila clam)
Lineage: Eukaryota; Metazoa; Mollusca; Bivalvia; Venerida; Veneridae
Exons: 2
Source: RefSeq, a predicted model, not a curated record
CAUUUUGUAUCUCAAAACAUAUGUUACCGAUUAAUUCAUUAAGAGAGUUUGCUAAUUCAAAUUAUAUCUCAUAUUAUAUAUCUACUAUUAUUUUUCACUUUACAUAGUUAAUUAUCACAUUUAUUUAUUUAUUUCAGACUGUUGAUGCGGUUAUUGUCAGUGUUUCAAUCCAAACAGAUACAUUUUCCAUUGCACAAAAGACAUCCGUUCGACGUAACAAUGAUUACGAAUUUGGACAAAAAAUGCUCACAGAACUCAAGAGCAAAUGGAGUACUUUGGCAACCUCUAUCUCUGCACUACAAGCAGCUGGAGACCAGAAAAGAAUUGAUUAUCAUUGAUAGAAGUAAUGCAUGUUGCACACAACGAAGAUAAAGUCUUCUUUAUCAAUAAACUCUCUUGUAUAAGUGUCUUUUUCUAAAUCAACUUAGGACUGAAUGCGCUUCAUGCAUUAAUCAAUCUUGGAAAGAAUAUGGCAUAUCAAAUGCACAAUCUCGUGAUGAAUAUAGCAUUUACAACAGAUCAACCUUGGGAUGAAUGUGCCAUUAAAAACACAUAAACAUCGAGAUGAAUGUAGCAAAUUAAAACAAAAUAUCAAUAAAAAGAAAAUAUUGAGGCCUAAUGUAAUAAAGCUGUUACAGAAAGCUUUUCACUCGAACAGUAAACAAAAGAUUAAAUUCAAAAUAGAAAAUUGAUAUUUCUUUUUUUUACAGUAACUAGAGAUAUGAAUAAUAUAUUGUAAUCAAAUUUGUUAUAUAGCAAGAAUCAAGGCAACGGUUACUCAAAAUAGAAAAAAAGGUUUCCAGACAAUACCUAGAUACAUGAUCAUAUACAGAAUAAAUUCAAUGUUUCUACAUAUCAUUUCAAACAUUUUGUGCAUAUAUUGCUUUUUUACAUAGUAAUAAACAGAUGAUUAUAAUAUUUUAAUAAGGAAAAUAAUCUAAAAUUAUUAGCAAAUAUUAAAAUAUCAUAAAAGAUUGGUCGAGUUCAAAUUUUGCUGCUUCAGUUCAGACCACUUAUUAUCCGAGGUUGCUGGUUAUUAUUAUUAUUAUUAUUAUUAUUAUUAUCAUUAUAGAGGAAUAAAAAUAUGUACGUGCACUAUAUAAUAUGUCUCUUGUCUCAAUGGUGAUACUUUAUUUAAUAUAAUGAUCAGUGGAAAAAUGACGUUAGUUAUGUUUGUUUUGAAACUACUUCAUAGCUUUAUAUAUUUAUUAUAUAAUUUAUAUCCGGGUAACUUAACAUUAUCAGAACAAGAUAUUUAAAUCAUACAAGCAUUUAACAAAUAUGAAGAACAUGAGUGAAGCACUAUAAAUAUUUUUAUUUCUUUGUUUUUACUGUAUAAUGUGUUAUAAUGACCUACAUUCCCGUUAUUUAAUGAUUUCAUUGUGAUAAUAUUAUAUAUAUUGACAUAUGCACUGUUCGUGUUCUUGUAAAUGUGUUGUUAAUCUGUCUUAUUUGAGUUAAAUAAAUUGUCCGUCUAUCAAUCUCGGGAUAAUAAUAAAUAGAUUAUCAUCGGGAUGAAAGUGACUCAUAAUAAGAUUAUUUAUCAAGAUGAAUAUGAUUCAUAAAUGUUGCAUAAACAAUAGGUCAAACUCUAGAUCAAUAUGGCUUAUGCAAUAGACCAACCUCAUGUGUUAACUGGCUCUUGAAAAGAUUAUCCUCGGUAUGAAUGUGACACAAAAAUGAAUUAAUCUCAUUAUCUUAGUUAUAUUUAUAUCGACUGUUCUUGUAUUUUUACAUUUUCUUAUCUUUUAUCGUUAUAGCUUAUCUUUCACAUGACUGAAUGUUAAUGUUAUUCACAUAUAUUAAGUCAUUGGAUUGACGUCCUUUUUGCUUUUGUUACAUUUCAGAAAUGAUUUUUUGUCAGAGUUUUGUUAUAUUCUGUAAUAAUAAUAAUAAUUUAGAUAUCUAUUGAUUUUUUGUUUGUUUGUUUUAUUGGGUUUUACGUUACACCGACACAAUAUAGGUCAUAUGGCGAAGUUCCAGUAUUACCGGUGGAGGAAGACCUCAGGUGCCCUUCCAUGCAUUAUUCCAUGCACGAACGGGCACCUGAGUAGAACCACCGACGUUCCGUAAACUAGCUGGAUAACUUCCUCACAUGAGAGAAUUCAAAGUCCCUGUCGGGAUUAGAACUCACAGCGGUGAGGGUAUUGCUUGUAGUAGUUCUAGACCAUCUGCGUAAAGACCAUAGUAUAUUAUAUGUUCGUUUAUGAAAAACCGGAUAAUUCAUUUAAUACAUAUACAGCUUGCUUUCUUUAAAUUUUAUUUUACUCACAUGAUUGAAUAUUGUCUUGUCUUUUUUGAACAUGUUAUUAGAUCACAUACAGUAAAUGUAUUUGUUGAUCGAUCAGUAUUUUUUCAUUUUUAUAGAAGUGGUGUUUUGAUAAUGUCAAACAUAUAACUACAUAUCAUUUAAUAAAACAAUAUUAUAUUUCA